This 387-nucleotide ribosomal RNA is filed under the name uncultured bacterium. Its description in RNAcentral is "bacterial SSU rRNA". It matches the Rfam family "Bacterial small subunit ribosomal RNA", at positions 29 to 417 of the family's 1533-position model. The record is from RNAcentral.
AUUGAACGCUGGCGGAAUGCUUUACACAUGCAAGUCGAGCGGCAGCGCGGGGGCAACCCUGGCGGCGAGCGGCGAACGGGUGAGUAACAUAUCGGAACGUACCCCGUCGUGGGGGAUAACACAGCGAAAGCUGUGCUAAUACCGCAUACGACCUGAGGGUGAAAGCGGGGGAUCGCAAGACCUCGCGCGAUGGGAGCGGCCGAUAUCGGAUUAGCUUGUUGGUGAGGUAAAGGCUCACCAAGGCGACGAUCCGUAGCUGGUCUGAGAGGACGACCAGCCACACUGGAACUGAGACACGGUCCAGACUCCUACGGGAGGCAGCAGUGGGGAAUUUUGGACAAUGGGGGCAACCCUGAUCCAGCCAUUCCGCGUGAGUGAAGAAGGCCU